GUGGAUUAGUUACCCUAGUAGUCCACGCCGUAAACGAUGAGCACUAGGUGUAGGGGAGACCAUCCUCUGUGCCGCAGUUAACACAUUAAGUGCUCCGCCUGGGAAGUACGAUCGCAAGAUUAAAACUCAAAGGAAUUGACGGGGGCCCGCACAAGUAGCGGAGCAUGUGGUUUAAUUCGAAGCAACGCGAAGAACCUUACCAGGACUUGACAUCCUUAGAAUCCUGCAGAGAUGCGGGAGUGCCUUCGGGAACUAAGAGACAGGUGGUGCAUGGUCGUCAGCU
RNAcentral lists this ribosomal RNA (283 nucleotides) under uncultured bacterium. RNAcentral describes it as "partial 16S ribosomal RNA". It matches the Rfam family "Bacterial small subunit ribosomal RNA", at positions 773 to 1060 of the family's 1533-position model. The record is from RNAcentral.